UGCAGUCGAGCGGUAACAGAUCUAGCUUGCUAGAUGCUGACGAGCGGCGGACGGGUGAGUAACGCGUAGGAAACUGCCGAGUAGUGGGGGAUAGCCCAGAGAAAUUUGGAUUAAUACCGCAUACGCCCUACGGGGGAAAGGAGGGGAUCUUCGGACCUUUCGCUAUUCGAUGUGCCUGCGUGAGAUUAGCUUGUUGGUGAGGUAAAGGCUCACCAAGGCGACGAUCUCUAGCUGGUUUGAGAGGAUGAUCAGCCACACUGGGACUGAGACACGGCCCAGACUCCUACGGGAGGCAGCAGUGGGGAAUAUUGGACAAUGGGCGAAAGCCUGAUCCAGCAAUGCCGCGUGAGUGAUGAAGGUCUUCGGAUUGUAAAGCUCUUUCGACGGGGAAGAUAAUGACGGUACCCGUAGAAGAAGCCCCGGCUAACUUCGUGCCAGCAGCCGCGGUAAUACGAAGGGGGCUAGCGUUGUUCGGAUUUACUGGGCGUAAAGCGUGCGUAGGCGGCUUAUCAAGUCAGAAGUGAAAGCCCGGGGCUCAACUCCGGAAUGGCUUUUGAGACUGGUAGGCUGGAGUUCGGGAGAGGGUAGUGGAAUUCCCAGUGUAGAGGUGAAAUUCGUAGAUAUUC
RNAcentral lists this ribosomal RNA (626 nucleotides) under uncultured bacterium. Its description in RNAcentral is "bacterial SSU rRNA". It matches the Rfam family "Bacterial small subunit ribosomal RNA", at positions 56 to 699 of the family's 1533-position model. The record is from RNAcentral.